This 460-nucleotide ribosomal RNA is filed under the name uncultured Myxococcales bacterium. RNAcentral describes it as "bacterial SSU rRNA". It matches the Rfam family "Bacterial small subunit ribosomal RNA", at positions 338 to 795 of the family's 1533-position model. Lineage: Bacteria; Pseudomonadati; Myxococcota; Myxococcia; Myxococcales. The record is from RNAcentral.
CCUACGGGGGGCUGCAGUGGGGAAUAUUGGACAAUGGGCGCAAGCCUGAUCCAGCCACGCCGCGUGAGUGAUGAAGGCCUUCGGGUCGUAAAGCUCUGUGGGGAGGGACGAACGGCGCCAUGAAGAGUGGCGAUUGACGGUACCUCCUUAGCAAGCACCGGCUAACUUCGUGCCAGCAGCCGCGGUAAUACGAAGGGUGCAAACGUUGCUCGGAAUCAUUGGGCGUAAAGCGCACGUAGGCGGCUUCAUAAGUCGGAUGUGAAAUCCCUCGGCUUAACCGAGGACGUGCAUCCGAAACUGUGAGGCUUGAGUAUGGAAGAGGGUCGCAGAAUUCCCGGUGUAGAGGUGAAAUUCGUAGAUAUCGGGAGGAAUACCAGUGGCGAAGGCGGCGACCUGGGCCAAUACUGACGCUGAGGUGCGAAAGCGUGGGGAGCAAACAGGAUUAGAUACCCGUGUAGUC